UCAGCAUUUAACUCAGAUGUUGAACGUGAAGGAUAACGUUGCGUCAGCAACGGCCCGUAGGGCGAGGUGAAGCCGAGUCAUCCUGCACGACCCACCA
Molecule: small RNA, 97 nt
Filed under: Klebsiella quasipneumoniae subsp. similipneumoniae
Lineage: Bacteria; Pseudomonadati; Pseudomonadota; Gammaproteobacteria; Enterobacterales; Enterobacteriaceae
Also listed under: 1 other name
Description: partial RtT sRNA
Rfam family: RtT RNA
About the family: This family represents a bacterial cis-regulatory element known as RtT RNA. The exact function of RtT is unknown although it is thought that it may be involved in changing the cellular response in relation to amino acid starvation.
Source: RNAcentral